AGGAUGAACGCUGGCGGUCUGCUUAACACAUGCAAGUCGAACGGGCGUAGCAAUACGUUAGUGGCGGACGGGUGAGUAACGCGUGAGAAUCUACCUUCAGGACGGAGACAACAGUUGGAAACGACUGCUAACCCCCGAUGUACUGAAAAGGCAAAUAUUUAUAGCCUGAAGAAGAGCUCGCGUCCGAUUAGCUAGUUGGAGAGGUAAAAGCUCACCAAGGCGACGAUCGGUAGCUGGUCUGAGAGGACGAUCAGCCACACUGGGACUGAGACACGGCCCAGACUCCUACGGGAGGCAGCAGUGGGAAUUUUCCGCAAUGGGCGAAAGCCUGACGGAGCAAGACCGCGUGGGGGAAGAAGGCUCUUGGGUUGUAAACCCCUUUUCUCUGGGAAGAAGUUGUGAAGCAGCCUGACGGUACCAGAGGAAUCAGCAUCGGCUAACUCCGUGCCAGCAGCCGC
Molecule: ribosomal RNA, 458 nt
Filed under: uncultured bacterium
Lineage: Bacteria
Description: SSU rRNA
Rfam family: Bacterial small subunit ribosomal RNA
Source: RNAcentral